CCUACGGGUGGCUGCAGCUAAGAAUCUUGCGCAAUGGGCGAAAGCCUGACGCAGCAACGCCGCGUGGGGGACGAAGGCCCUCGGGUCGUAAACCCCUUUUGCGAGGGAAGAAGUUCUGACGGUACCUCGCGAAUAAGCCACGGCUAACUACGUGCCAGCAGCCGCGGUAAUACGUAGGUGGCGAGCGUUGUCCGGAUUUAUUGGGCGUAAAGCGCCCGCAGGCGGCUUGGUAAGUUUCAGGUGAAAUCUCCCGGCUCAACUGGGAGGGUGCCUGGAAAACUAUCAGGCUUGAGGCAGGGAGAGGGAUGUGGAAUUCCCGGUGUAGUGGUGAAAUGCGUAGAUAUCGGGAGGAACACCAGUGGCGAAGGCGGCAUCCUGGCCCUGUCCUGACGCUCAGGGGCGAAAGCGUGGGGAGCAAACCGGAUUAGAUACCCGAGUAGUC
Molecule: ribosomal RNA, 442 nt
Filed under: uncultured bacterium
Lineage: Bacteria
Description: partial 16S ribosomal RNA
Rfam family: Bacterial small subunit ribosomal RNA
Source: RNAcentral